This 261-nucleotide ribosomal RNA is filed under the name uncultured eukaryote. Its description in RNAcentral is "partial 18S rRNA". It matches the Rfam family "Eukaryotic small subunit ribosomal RNA", at positions 324 to 584 of the family's 1831-position model. The record is from RNAcentral.
GAUGGUAGUGUAUUGGACUACCAUGGCUUUAACGGGUAACGGAGGAUUAGGGUUUGAUUCCGGAGAGGGGGCCUGAGAGAUGGUCACCACAUCCAAGGAAGGCAGCAGGCGCGUAAAUUACCCAAUUUCGACACGAAGAGGUAGUGACAAUAAAUAACAAUGCCGGGCCUUGUUAGGUCUGGCAAUUGGAAUGAGAACAAUUUAAAUCCAUUAUCGAGGAUCAAUUGGAGGGCAAGUCUGGUGCCAGCAGCCGCGGUAAUA